RNAcentral lists this ribosomal RNA (254 nucleotides) under uncultured bacterium. RNAcentral describes it as "partial 16S ribosomal RNA". It matches the Rfam family "Bacterial small subunit ribosomal RNA", at positions 524 to 776 of the family's 1533-position model. The record is from RNAcentral.
UACGGAGGGUGCAAGCGUUGUUCGGAUUUACUGGGCGUAAAGCGCGCGCAGGUGGGUGUGCAAGUCGGAAGUGAAAUCUCGAGGCUCAACCUCGAGGCUGCUCCCGAAACUGCUCGCCUAGGGACUGGUAGAGGCUGGUAGAAUUCCCGGUGUAGCGGUGGAAUGCGUAGAGAUCGGGAGGAACACCAGUGGCGAAGGCGAUCACCUGGGGGUUGUUCUGACGCUGAGGAGCGAAAGCUAGGGGAGCAAACGGG